Non-coding RNA from Onychomys torridus (southern grasshopper mouse), 426 nucleotides. NCBI's taxonomy places the organism in Eukaryota, Metazoa, Chordata, Mammalia, Rodentia, Cricetidae. The record is from the annotation of a RefSeq genome assembly.
AUGGGAUGGAGCUGGAUCAUUCUCUUCCUCCUGUCAGUAAUUACAGCUGUCCACACCCAGGUACAGCUGCAGCAGUCUGGUCCUGGGCUGGUAAAAUCUAGUUCCUCAGUGAAGUUGUCCUGCAAGGCUUCAGGCUACACCUUCAAUAGCUAUAUUAUAAACUGGGUGAAGCAGAAUCCUGGACAUGGCCUAGAGUGGAUUGGAUGGAUUUAUCCUAGAAAUGGUAAUACUAAGUAUAAUCAGAAGUUCCAGGGCAAGGCCACACUGACUGCAGAUACAUCCUCCAGCACAGCCUACAUGGAUCUAAGCAGCCUGACAUCUGAGGACUCUGCGGUCUAUUUCUGUGCAAGACACAGUGUUACAACCCACAUCCUGAGUGUGUCAGAAACUCUGGAGGAGCAGGAAGCUGCCCUGGGUCUGAGAUGA